UACUGAGGACUCCAUGUAUGGAUGCAAUACUCCAGGUAAGGCCUCACCAGCACAGAGGAGAAUGGCAGAAUCACCUUCCUUACCCUGCUGGCCAUGCUUCUUUUGAUGCAGCCCAGGAUACAGUUGGCUUUCUGGGCUGUGAGGGCACACUGCUGGCUCAUGUCCUAUCCUCCAGUACCCCCAGGUCAUUUUCAGCAGGGCUGUGCUCUAUCCUUUCAUCCCCCAGCUUGUACUGAUUGGAGGGUUGCUGCAACCCAGAUCUUGUUCAGCAGUAGCAGGUUGGAGGGAGGUUCUUCAGAAAGUGGUUUUCUGUUUGUUGUUUUUGAAUUUAUUUGUUUUUAAUUAUUUUUAAUUCAAUACAUGUUGAUAUUGCCUUUAUCUUAUGGUGUAACUCAAGGUGAAAAAAAAAUAUCCAUUUUUACACUGGGAACAAGCACUAGGAAACACUUUAAUUGAAUUACUUCUUAAAGCCGGAGCCCCUGGCAGGAGGGGUAGUUUUGCUUUCUUUUAUUUCCAGCAUCCAACCUGUUUUGUUCCAGUUUUCUGAAAGGGAAAGCCCACCUUUUUCUGUAUUUUUACUCACAUUCUUAAGCGAAUUAGCUGAUCCCCAGUGUGUGAGACACAUACCAGCUCCCCUUGGGUUUCCUGGGCUGCGUUUGCCCUGUAUUGGUGUCCUUCUGCUAGGCAAGCAGGCAGUGUGAGGUGGGAUGCAGGGCUGUGGAUACACUCAUGGCAUUGUUAAUUAAACCUGCAGCCAGCUGGUGGCACCCGGAGCAGAAAGCAGAGCUCCUUAUUUGAUAAAACACUUAUUUGUACGAGGGACUGCUCUUUUGAAAGGUAGGUGUUUCAGGGUGCUGUCUUGUGGCUUUGAACACACGGGUUAUAUUUUCAUGAUAAUUUUUAACAUUCAGCCCUACUGCUGCACCUUCUUUUUUUUGUUACUUUAUGAGAAUGGCACAAAAGAAAUUAAACACUGGCACAAAAGCACAAUGGUUUCAGAGCAAUCAUCAGAAAUAUAACCGUAGGUUACAUCAGAUGGAAAAAAAAAAACACACAGGGUGUGUGUGGGGGAAAUCCUGUUCCAUUGGGUUGCAAACCAAAUGGCCCUGAACUAAAAAUAAUCUUUCUAUUGUUCCACAGAAUGUGAGUACAAAAUAAUAUGCUAAGUCUGAUACCACUAAAAGUCCUGUUUUUUUUUUCUCUGCAUAUAUUUAAUGUAUUUGGAAUCAUGCUGGGGACAGGAUCCAGUUCGUACAUUCAUCGAGUGUAGAUGUGUUCUCCCUGCACAGAAGUACAUUUUUCAUAAGGAAAACAUUACCCUGACAAAACUCAUUUCUCCUUAAUGAGUCUAUUAGGUUAAGUGAAAUAAAUCAUGGAAGUUCCUCCUUUUUCUUUCUUUUUUUUUUUUUUCUUUUCAGAAUAGCUGAACAGUGCGAUAAAGAGGCUUGACUAAUUCAGUGUCCUGGGGGCUUUCAGGGGGAAGAAUAGGGAAGGGUGAGGUGGGGCCCCUCAGCUCUUCAGCCUGCAAACAGGACUGGAUAAAGGCAGGAUUUAACAUGAAGCUCAGGCUGGAAUAAUGCUUCUCCACUAAAAGGAAGCUGAACUCGGUAGAAUUGUUGCUGGUGAUGAAAGGAAGGGAGUUGCUGUUGUUAGCAAAGGACGGUGGAAAAGCAACAGGUAUUUCAGGUUUGGAAGAAGACCUUCACAGAGCUAUUUGGUGAUCAAGGGUCAGUGGUCAGAUUUGGUAUGUAUCUUGCACUCAGCAGCCCAUUAGGAAGGAUGCAAUGAGGUUCUGGAAUUCCAGGUGGGUGUUUAGGGCUGAGGAGCAGUCAACGUGAAGACCCUUGGGAUAUAGUAAAUACUGUCAGCAGCAUAUUUUUAACAUCUCAGUCAUUGAUGGAAAGGAAAUAGGAUCUUUGCCUACCAGAUGAAAUAGCAUUUAAGUAGGAAAUGUUGUGCUUGUCUGGUAAAAGUAUAUAGCAGUCAGAUUGGCAAAACAUUAAAAGAAAGUGCUAUAUUUUUUCCAGCUUAUAGCUUGCUCUCAUUUCUAUGGGGAAAAAAUCCAGGAACAUGAUCCUGCCCUAGCUGAGACUAUGCCAUCAGAGCAAGUGUGGAUAUAGAGUAUAGGUUGUGUCUUCCCUAAUUCUCUGUUGCACUCCAAAUUUCCCCUCUGGAGUUUUCCCAGCCCCAGGUUGUUCUGGCUUAUGGCAGUCCGUGGGAGGGAGAUGGUGCGUUUUCUUCAUCCUGACACCUCCUCAUCUUUCUGUGUGCACCAAGCUUGCAGAAGCAUCUUGAUGUAAAGAGACACUAAUAGGAGGUGGAUGUCUCUUACAAUCUGUGUUUGUCUGAAAAAUGGCAUAAAAGCCUCCUCCUUCCUGCCUCAUGAUUUGGCACUGUCAUUUUUGUUGCUGAUGAUGGCAGUCUUGCUAAAAGUAGCUUUACUUGGGAGCUUAUUGGUAAAGUCUUUACAAAAUGGUGACUAUUUUGUUAUGAUAAUUGGGAAAUCAAUUAAGUUUUGUUGAGUUUGGAAAGGAAUGUUGUGCUUCCCUCAGUUGUUUCUUUCUGUACUCAUGCUAUAACACUGUUUUCUUGAAGUCCUGUGUCAUGUAGUAGGUUUUUACAUCAGAAACUCCUACCAACCCCAACAUUUUAUAUUACACAAAGACACAAUCUAUUUGGAUUUUCAUACAUUUCACUGGACAGAUACAUAUGCUCAGAAGAUAAGAAUAGCGUAAGCUCAAGAUCUUCCAUAUUUAAAUCAUUUUUUUCAGCAAAAUUCCCCUGGUUUUACAUUUUUUUUGUUUCUUAUCCUAUAUGAGAACCUGACUCCCUCCCUGCUCAAGGCAAGAUGCACGUGAGCACUUCCAGAUGCUUUGCCAGUGUGUGGGUGGGUGCCUAUAGUGCACUUUGAUGCACUGUUCAGAUCAGACCUUUCUGAGACUCGUGAAACAUAGCACUGAAAUCUGCAACCUGCACCAGGGAGAGGAGUGCAGUACCCUGAACUCCUGUUAAUUACAGAGUUAAAAUAAGCCUCCCUCAGCUGCUUCUCUGAGACAGGCUUGCUCUAUUUGAAAACCAACUUUGAUCCUAGACAAAUCUUAGGAUAAAUCACAAAUAUGUCUGCUUUGGAAUAAAUCUAUGUGGUUUUUCUAGAUUUACAUUCAUGAAGGCUUAGCUAACACUAAUUAAUUUGGAAUAAGUUAGCUCAAACUGGAACAAGGCCAUCAAUUCUAGCCCAGAUUUGUACUGGGUGUUAUUUAGCUAUAUCUUUCAACGUAUCAUAUAUAUUAAAAUAAUUUUCUGUAUAUAUGUUUGCACAUACACACACACUCACAUAUAUUCCAUAAUGCAUUUUUUACUGUCAGUCUUCUACAUUCCAGUCAAUGGGCAGCUUGAAGUGUUGGUCAACACCAGGGAAGAAAAGCUUUAGAGAUUAUGGAGCAUCUUUCAAGAGAAACCUGUUGGAGACUGCUCCUUAUUUGAUAUUUCUUUAUUAAAAUAAGUUAUUGUACCAGUUGAUGGAGAAGUCAAGGGAAGAAUGAGGAACAUGAGGCUGAGUAAUGCUGCGCACACUCACGCCAUGGUGCUUGUUACUGUAUGAAAAUGGCCUGAGGUAUUGCUGUGUCCUUCUAAAUCCAUGUAGACUACAGAUACUUUCAUUAAAAGUAGCCUGUUGUAUAGGUGGCUUUUAUUUGUUGAACAUAAGCAGGGUCUUAACUGUUGCUUUUAGGUUUGCUAAUUGGAAAGGGGAUGAAUAUUUAUAAGUUUCCCUCCUCUACAGUCUUAGGAAUGAUAAAUGCAAAUCUUACAGAGCUGGUGCCUGAAUUAUAAGGUGGGCUUUCUAUCUUGGCAGAUAAAUCUAUUUUUGUAGAUCAAGAGCUGUUAGGUUAAUCACUUGCGAGUUUGAAAUAAAACGUGCUCAGGAAGACUCUUACACCCACUUACAGAGUCCAGCAGCCUCCUGCUGUCUCAGUUAGCACUCUGUGGUCUCCAUGUCAAAACUAUUGCCCUGACUCCUUUUCUCCUCUUUCUGAGAUGUAAUAACAAAUGCCUGUUAGAUCUUUCUUUGUGCAUCUCCUGGAUGCUGAGGUCUAGGAAGAAGAAGAAAGCCAAGUGCUCAGACAAGGAGGUGUUGAAAGAUUUGUGUGGAGAAAGACAAACUGCAAGAGGAGGAAGGUAACGAAAGUUCUGGUUGUUCUGUUACCUGAUUGAUAUUGCCAGAAGAACAUGGGAUGAAAUACUUGAAAGGGGAAGUGUUCUCCACCAUUUUAGUGUUCGAUGUUACAGGGAAAAAUAGGAAUUUUGAAAAAGACUUGUGUCAUCUGCUCGUAACUACAUGUAACUACACAGACAAAGGCUAUGUGCUUUCCUGCCACACUUCUCAGACCCAUUCUGCAUUCACUGUGGAUGAGGAAUCAUAUCUGGUGUGGCCAGAGGUCCACUCAAAGCAGAGUCCUGUCUUCCUGCUCUGUUUCUUUGGCUUCUGCAAUAUUGAUCCACACUGGAGCAUUUUGUUGGGCCCAUCACUGAGGCUGGUAAAGGCCCAGAGAUAAUAUACAGCCAGUUUCUAGCACACCUACCAUCAGAGCCAAGAUCUUUGGUUACAAGUAAAGCUGUAAAGAAAUCUGGCAGAGGCAAGCAAGGGUCAGGCAGCUGUAACUUCACCAGAAAAUACACUGCACCUAAUUUUCUCCUGUCUCUCUCCCCCCACUAGGGGUCAUAUUGUAAACGAUCACAUCUAAGCUUUCCCGGGCUUAAAAGAUUAUAAUGUGAUUAGAGUCGUGGGGAGAGCAAUAGGAGCCCUCAGUGCUGAAUGGAGUCAUCCCUGUGAGCUCCAGGACCAGUGAGUGCCUGCAAGGGCAUGGGAGAGCGAUGGGAACAGCAGAGGCUUUCUUCAAAUGGCUGUUUAGUUUUUUGGACAGAUGAACCAGCUGAAGUGUUUCACAUGUUCUGGGAUGUUUAGAGAAAGAAGAUGUUUGUGAGGGGAUGGCGUUUUUUCUUUAUUAACCAUUUCUGGUAUUCCCUUGUGGGUCUCGGAGUGCACGGAUGAAGGCAGGGCACGGCCUGAUCAGUGUGAAUGAGUGCUUGUGGAAAUCAGCUGUUUGGCAGGGGCUUCACAUUGAACACCAGAACUAGGGUGUAUUCAGGGCUAGGGAAGGUCAGGAAACUGAAGCCAUGUUUGAUGAUUAAGAUUUUCAUGAACUUCUUUCCACUGGCAGAUGUACGAGGCAGCUGAUGCUCUGUGGUGACAUCUCCCCAAGGCAAUUCACAGCCUUCAUGGGAAACGGUCAGCGAGCCUCUAUCUUGAGUCUGGCAGAGUAAGAUCAGAAGCGGACAAAAGCGACACUUGAGGAAGGAAAGGCUGAAACAAAAAGGUCCCAGCUGGUCCCUCAAGGCCUUAAGUCACUUGUGCAGUCAGGGAGCAAUGCCCAAGGCCUCUGUGCUGCUGCGUCACUUCCUGCAGGACUCAGUGCCCAGCUGCAUGGUGCCUUCCUUCUGACACGGCUUUCAGAAAAUAUAAAGAGUACAUGGAGAAUAAAUCAUCCAAGGACUUCAAGAUGCUGUUGGAGUGCCAGCUUGACUUUCUUCCCAGCAGAUGACAUAUGACAGGGACAGGGUAGGUCUGGUUGCUUAUUUUCUACUCCAGAGGGGUGUGCUAAUAUUGAUGCCCUUCUAGGUCUGCUCUGUAAGCUGCAAAAAAUCAGGAUCCACUUUCCUCAGUGGCUAGUUCACAUGAGGCUGGCAGAAGUAAGAGUGAAGCUCAGGUUGGGUCUGGUUUUGGGUGGGUGCCCAGAACAGCUGUGAGCUCAGAGCAACAGGCACCCUGUGUGGCACUCUUGAGAAUAGUGCACUUUAUUUAUGUAUUUACUUAAAUGGUGACACAAAAGGAGUGAAGUAGGUACAGUCUUGUUUGGUGUACACAUACUGCUCUACAAAAGGUAAUUAGAGCUUCUGGGCAGCAAGACCAACUGCAAUGGGACUGUGUGAGAGCUCCCAUAGACUCAUGUCCUCUCUCUUGCAGUUGCACAUAGCAGCUGCUGGCAGAUAAGCUCAGGAACAGAUCAAGCGUAGAGCAAUCACCCUGUGUCCCUCUCCACACCCAGCAGAGAGUGGUUCGGGGAUAUACUGAGCCAGAGGCAACAAUAUAAGCCCUGUGUUUCAAGCAAAAAUCCAAAACACAUGUUAGCAAUCAUGUCAGAUUGCUAAAUUUUCAAAACAAAUUCAAAAUUAGGUUUGGUUCUCAUAACUGAAGUGUUACGUCUCUCCUCACUGUAUGGUCCCACUGAGAAGGUGGAGCUGAGCAGCCUCCAUCCAGGCAGCUCCCAGCCCAGUGGGGUGGCUGCAUUGUGCUCCCACCUGGAGCCCAAAUGGGGCACCUGGAAGGUCAGGACAAACUACCAGUGGAUGGUGGCAGUCAGGAUUUCAGACCUUUUAUGAUGAGCAAUCUUUUUCUUAACUUUAAAAAUCUGUUGGGAAGGCCAGAGUAGGUCCUGAGUGCUGGAAUGAUUUGGCAUGAGCAGUAUGUGCGUUAGGUGGCCUUUUCUCUUGACCUUUUGAUCAGGGUUAAGUGCAAUAUCUAUUUAUACCCCUGCUGUUGAGGCACCUUACCCUGCUUUUGCAGGAAUGGUGGCUGCCAAGCUGAGUAGACCCAGAAUGGCUGAAUGCAGAAAAUAAACAAAACUGCAGUUGUCUUGUUUCUCUGCUACAGAACUCAGGUUCUGCAGCAGAUACAUCAGUUUGGCCAUCAGAAAGUUUUAUAAGUAACACUGUUUGCCUUAAAAUAAAAUAAAAAAGAAACAGCCAAGCAUUCCCUUCCCCGAGUGCAGUAUUAAGCCUGUGAAGCUGCUGGGAAGCUCCAGGCCUGGGCUCAAGGGGGAAGUGACACUGGCAGACCUUUAGCAGCACGUCUCUGCAUGGCAUUUGGCACACAUCAGCCUCAGCAUGCCCUAGGUUUGGCGUGCAGAGCUGAGCUGGGCUUUCUUUUUCAGCAGAGCAAUGCCACGUCUCUCAGAGAGAAGGACAUACAAAAGCUCACUCAGCAGCUUGCUCCUACAAACAUUUUAGCAGAUGCAUGUUGAUUGAAAGCAGGACUGGAAGGAAGGCUUUCUGCCUCCUUUAGAGCCUUCUCCUAAGAAGCAGGAGUUUUUUCCCUUUGAAUCAUCAGCCUUGAUACUGAUGCAGAGGGGAGUGUCGUGAACGUGUGUUCCCUGAAUUUAGAUGAGGUAAUGGUUGGCAUUGAGGCCUGCACUGCCAGCAAAAUGAGCUCUUUGACAGUCAGACAAGGCCUGUUCGUUCCUGCCGGCUUGUGAACUAAAAAAAUGCCAUUCAUAACCUGAAUAUGAGCUGGGGUCAUUUUAUCUAACCUAGAUCAGUACAUUUAAUGAGCCUCUUUGUUCGGUGGCAGGGCCAUGCAGGGCUGGGCCUUGCCCAGCUCCCCGUCAGCAUUGUGCCAUGCUGGGAAGUGCUGGUGGGAGCGGUGGCCUCACUCUCAGGGCUUUCAGGUUUACCUGUGGCUGCUGUUCCAAGCAUGUGUGCGGAGAGGGCUGCAAUUCAAAGCAGGGAGAGAGGAGAAGAGGGAGGGGUAGGGAUAGUUAGCAGGUACACUGUGAUGUGGGAGUGUAUAAAAGACUGAUAAAUCAAGCUAGUUUCAAAACAGUAUGUUACUAGCUUGGUGUUCAUGCAUAAAGUACAUUGCCAAUGGUUAAUUCCUAAUCGCUAUCCCGUCUAGAGUGUUCAGUCUGAACUCCCCACUACCAGGCAGGCAAGGACAUUUGUGGGUCCAGCAAGGUUCAUCAGUGUGUACUGACACCUGAUGGGGGAGUACAGAAAAUAGAGGCAGGCUCUUCUUGUUGGUGCUCAGUGAGAUGAGAAGUGGCAGUCACAAAGGGAAGGAUGGGAAAUUCCAUGUAAAAGUACAAAAAAUAUUUUUUUAUGGUGGGAGUGGUCAGGCAGCAGAAUGAUUGCCCAGAGAGGUUGUGGAGCCUCUAUCCUUGGAGGUAUUCAAAAUCCAUCUGGAUGUGGCCUCAAGCAACCUGCCUAGCUGACCUGGCUAUGAGCAGUAAGGUAGGACCAGAAUAUCUCCACAGGCCCCUUCCAUGCUCAGUGGUUCUCUAAUUACCAUUCUGUAACCUGUCGUUGUCUCCACAUACUCAAACAAUUAGUCCUUACCUAUCUUACCUUUAGUUGGCUAGGGGUAUUUAGGAUCUUGGAGCUAAAGCCACCUGUUAACACUGAUGGGCUCUUGCAUGAGGGAACGAGGCCCUAAAAUGGAAGCUUAUUUCUUCCUCUUUUUGCCUGCCCAUCAUGGAAGUUUUUACGUUUUUCAUCCUUGUGCAUGAAGGAGGGAGAGGGGGGUGAAGCUCUUGUAGUCCUGGCAUAGUUCACUUUACUUCCAGGCCCCGGAGUUGUUCUGGUUUUGCCAGACAUCUUUCCAUCUUGCUCUUCAGGGUUGUCCUGAUUCCACCAGACAUCCGUCCUGCCUGCCUUGCCUCCUCGAUUCAUAUCUUUCAGGCUUUACUGCUUGCAUAUAUUUUCCAGUACUGCCCUUGUGCCUCUCUACCACCAGUCUCCUUCUGCCCCUCUGGUUACAUAUUAUUUAUCUAUUUGUGCUUAGCUGUCUCUCAAAACACAUAAACACUAUGACUGGUGAUGCUACAAAAUGUGUCGCUUGCACAGUGCUGCUGGUAGGGCUGUUUUAGCACUGUGCUGUCUGAUUCCUAGGCCAGUAAACACUAAUUUUACUGUGUGCUUCUGCUACCAAGAGCAGUGGGCUUGUGCUUUGGUGACAGCCUGCACAGCUGCUCGUCUGUCAGGGCAGUCUCUGAGAAUCCAUAUACUGCUUCAUAAAUUCAGAAUGUCCAUCUCAUUAGCAUGGGUGUAGUCUUUUUACCUAUGACUUUGUAUUGUCCCAGCAAAUCCAUCUUCUUUGCUGAGGCAUGUUUUCCCUGGGACCUUCAGAAAGAUUCUGUCUCAUGACUCCUUUCCUUCCUUCUGUCCUGGGGUUAGACUGAAUUUGAAUUCCUUGGUUUCAUGGGAAUAAUCCUUCUUUGGAUUAAAAUAAGUCUUCAGUCUGAGAUUUACUUUGUACUUUUGCAUCUUAUGAAUUAUAUCAGAGCGAGGUGCCGAUGAGCAACUCUACCCCUAGCUGUUGGCAGCAGUAAUUUCUACUUGUAUUAUGUAAAUGGAAGCUUUCCACUGGAAAUUGCCUAUCCAUUUCCAGUGAAGGGAUUUCACACGGCCUACAAGGAAGGACCCAGCAAGGAUUCAGGCUACAACUAUGCUCAUUACACAGCCACCUGCCCUUUGUAAAAGGAUUUUCUACACCAGCCACAGAAGGACUAAAUGGUGUAGACGAUACACAGUUCACUAAGGAUUCUGCUCUGCCAUAUGAAGGCUGCCGUCACUUAGGUUUCUGCUGACCAUGCUGGGGUAGAGCAUGUCAAAGAGAACUCCUGACAUCACGGGAUCCAAAGCUACAAUUCUGAAUCAAAAAAAAAUUUAAUGUCCUUCUUGGUGACACAAACUUAAUGGAAAGUGACAGUUUUCCAUGAGGUAUAUUAGUGAAAAGGCAGAGGUAAACGGCACAGGCUGCAGAGGGUUCCUCAUCUCCCCUUCUGCUGCUGAGGCUGGAGAUACGGAGUACAGUCUGGUAUUGCCUUCAACCACUGCUUCUUAGCCUUAGCCCUCCAGUACUUGAGCCCAAAACUCAUGCAACCUGGAGAGAAAGAGCAGAGAAGGAGCAGAAGCUUUUUGGUGGUAGUAUCCCAUACUACAGCUUAGAGAAACUGUUCUUCACACAUAAAUCUCAGUCAUGUAUAUUGUGUAUCCGUCUAAUGCGGAUGCCUUCAUUUGCCUACAAUACUGGAAUUUUGUUGGGAAACAAAUUAGAAAAUACUUGUUUCUGUCCCUUUUGAAGGAGGAAUGAAAUACUGUCUACGUAUAGGAGAUAGAUUUUGAACUGAAAAGCUCAAGCAGUGUUUAUAAUCACGUUUAUAAAUUUGGCAGCAAGCUGGACAGAGCAACAUUUUGGAAACAGUUGUCUUCUAUCAUCCUCAGCAUGCUUUUGGUUUUGGCUCUGCUUCAACUAGAAGUUUUUCCAUCGGGCCUGGGAUUUUUUUAUAUUUCUUUUUAUUUUAAGAGACGUGAUCAGCUAAGAGUUAUUAUAUGUUGUGUUCUCGAAGUCUUUCUCCCUGUUAGGAUAAGAUUGUUAGACAUGACCCAUUAGAAAACAAUCAAAUGGUCCUUUCAACAUCUUAUGCUGAUUUAUCUGCUUUUUUGCACCUCAUUCAGUAUGGGCAAAAAAUAAAUAAAUAAAUAGACUGCUCUGUUUUGCUUUCCUGUCUGAGGAUCAUUUGCCAGUGCUUUGUGGAGAGGCAGCUGAGGGCUUGAGGCCAAAUUUGCAAAGCAGCAGAUGCCUGCAGAUACAGAAACCUAAAAGUUUUUCAAGUUUUUUGCCCAGCCCCCAUGAAAUAAUCAGAAUCAAAGCAAGAUAAGUAUUAUCUGUUUAGAUAGCUAUGUUCAGAGUUGCAUGUUAGAGAGUUUUGGAAGUCUGUGCCGUGAUGGUGCCUUUCUGGCUUAUAUCCAAGAAAAAAAAGAAAUAGAAAAGGAAGCUGAAGUCAAGAAUGCACUCGGUACAACUUUUUAUAGGAAAGAAAACACCAACAAGAGUAUUAACAAAUGCUCAAAUAUUUCACUGAUAUUAUUCUUCCAUAUAUGUAAUUGGCCUGAGAAUUGCAGUGAGUGGAAGAGGAGGUGGGCUGAGAAGCAGUCCUGCUCUUAAAAAUGUAUAACUGAGCCUGCAGUCUCUGCUGAUAUUUCUGGAUAUACCUGAAUCCUUCUCCUUGAAACUGAAAGAAAAUAUCUGACAAGCCGUUCUACUAUCAGUUUGGUAAAGCUUGUGUUAUUAAUGCACAGGCUGAAAGCGUGUCAGUUGCUGUAAGUGUUUUUCUGCCCUUCUUUAACUUUAUGCCUGUCUUGAAGAGUACUAUCACUUAUUGUCAAUUAGCAGUUGGUGUAUUCUUUUUUAAAAAUACAUUUUAAAUUAACGUGCAUACGUGUACACCCAACCACCCCAUCUGAAGGCAGGAAAGGUGAGAUAUUUUUUCCAAUGUUUGUUACUCGCAUGAGCCUGGGAAGUAGUAUGGGUUUUUAUGUAAGUCAUGCAUAUGUUUGCCUUAAUAGACUGUCCUUCAGUGAUUGACCUGGACUCUGUCUGGAAGGCUCCCACAGAAUAGUGGGGAAACUGGGCAGGAGAUGAGCAGCAUCAAACAUGAGAGAAGAGAAAGAGAAGGUGAGGCAGUGGUGUUGGUGAUCGGGAAAGACCUGCUGCCUUCAGGGCCAGCCUCAGCCAGGCUGCGGUGUCCAGCCCAGCCCCAAAGCAAACUUCUCUAAUACCUGUCUUAAGAGUUUUAGAAUCCCCACCCAACACCAGCCUUCACACCAUCCCAGGUGGCUUGAACACAGUUAUUUAAGUGAUUUGCUGAUAGUAAUACAGUUGUAAUUUGAGUGGUGAGAGGAAAGCACCAGGCUUCCUGUUUUACUGCUUGCUAGAAAUCCAGGGAGACAGCACACUUUGACUACAGUGGGGAGAGUAUGCAGAGCUCUUUGCAAACAGCUAUCUUAAGCCAAGGUGUGUCUCUUACCCAGAGAGAUACUCUACUUGAAUACUGUCAGCACACACUCCAAAAGGUAAUCAGCUUUCCUGGAAAAAAAACAAACCAACCCAACCAAACAUGUAACCAGUGAAUCAGCUGUCCCAGGCCUCCUCUUAGAAAAUCUCUGAUGCUUUCAGGAUUUGCCAAAGGGGAAAGAAGUCAUUAAUUUCUGUCCAUCCAUCUGGACUCAAAAGCAAAAUGUAAGAAGAAAACUGAAGUGAAGGAAGCAAGGGGUGGAGUUGGACUGAUGCUUCUGAGUCUUCCGUAUUCCCAGAGUAGCAUUUGGUUUUCCAAGAGGGAAACUGAAGGGGAGCAUCUUCUUCAUUCGGUUGAUGUGACCAGGGCAGGUCUGUCUUUCUCCAUUGUCUAGCUUCCUCUUCUCUUUCUCCCUGCUCUGCCAUAAAAGGGUGAGCACAGUGACCACAGGCUUUUGCAACAUGGUAUUCCCUAACAGCAAUUUGAUUCUGCAUUGCCAACAGGAGCAGAUGGCCUUAAUCAUGGAAGGAAAAUGCUUUCUCAGGCAAAUAUAUUCCAAGUUUACUGUACAACUGGGCUGUGUUUUAUCUCUGUUGAAAGGUCACCUAGAGGUAUUUUUAACAAUCUGCAAAGGUAAUUCCCAAAAGCCAGUGAAGAUAAAACGAGGCCAAUUUUAUACCAGCAAAAAGCUUAUUGAGAGAGAAAUGGCUCAAAGUACAACAAAGGAAGGCUGUAGAAAAUGUUAGCUCAUUUGGGAUAGGAAGUACAAAAGAACAGUGUUCAGUGGAUUUUAGACCAUUUGGCUGUGAUGUCCUUGAUGCUCAAUGAAAUGAGACAUGGAGAAGACUCCCCAAAGUGUCCUAAUUGUUUUUCAUUCAUUUAUCACAGAAUACAUUGCUCUGGACUCUUAUUCUCAUUUGUCUUCCCUCACACCCACUGCGGUCUCUCCUGAUCUUUGAGACAAUUUUGCUCCUUGAAUUGAUACUCCCAUUUUAAGGGAAAAACAUUUAGGUUUUUUCACACUGCCCACAGUCCUUCUAAUGGUCAUUAGGACAAGCCAAAGAGUCAACUGAGUGCUGCCAGGCCACUCUUUCUCUUGCACUUCCAUUUAGCUGCUCUAGCUUUAUAUGGACUUUAAUGAAAUAACCUUAGCAGUACUGUUCAGAUUCCUUAGGACUGCAUUGUUCCUGUUGGCACACUUAUGAUGAGCCAGAAGGAGUUUGAUUUGCAUGCAUGCACCAAACGCAGGUGUCUGCAGCUGUGCAAGCUCAUCUUUUGGAGAUGUACAUCAAAUAAUAAAAUAAAUGAUGACAGAUAUCAAGUUGUUCAUCACUCUUAAGUCUCAGUUACAGUGCUCUCAUCUUGGUAUUCUUCUACUCUCUGGGGAAAAUAGAAAAAAGAUGGUCGUGAAAGGCAGUUUCAACACUAUAAACCCUUCUAAAAAAUAUACAGGGGUAGAUAGAUGACAUGCCAGAAUAAUCCAAUCAUCUCAAACCUAAUGUGUUCUGCAGUUUCUUUAAAUACCCUAAUUCCCUGACAUUCUCACUUGUAUUUUGUACUUGCAUAUGUUUUGUUUAACUUUACAUGCUUGGUGAAGCACAUUGUUUCAAUUAAGCCUCAGCAACAUUUGGAAACAGGAACAGAAAACCCAAGGGAAUUGCUAUCUCCAAAGCAUGGCAGUGAUGCAGUCUGUGCUUCCUUCACAAAGUCCUUAGACAUUCCUAAUAAUUCACCCAAGAGCAGUGAGUUAUCAGUUUUGUACAUCUCAUGAAUUUUGAUUUCAGAGCAAUGUGUAACCUAAAAAGUGUUCGUAAGUGCAUUUUGAUUGAGUAUGCUAAGUGCUCCUCCUUUAGCUGUGUUACUUCUUCCAGAGGCUCUGUAAUACUUACAGGUUUUUCUGUGACAAACACCUUCUCCUGCUCCUGUUAAAGUUAAUGAGCAAAACUACAUUGAAUCUUGUGGGACACAAGACAAAACACUUUCAGAUGUGAAACAGAAGAAAAUGUGUCAGAGCUCAACACAGCCGUUCACAGCCUUUCCAAUGGCUUUGGACUAUCCUUGUAAGUAGGUGGCCAUUGUAGAACGCAUCUAAGAAUCACAAAAUAGCCAGAAAGAAAGACAAUGAGGAAAGAGACUUGAGGGACCUGUGUAACUGCCAGAGUGGCAACCAAAUGGGGGCAGGCAUGCUGAUGAGCUGUAAGAACUCUGCAACGUCGCUCUGAGCACAAAGUCAAAAGAAGACCUAGAAGACUUCCUAGGGAGAGGAAGAGAACAGCGAGCAAGAGAGAGUGUGAGCGUGUGAGAGGGAGAACAAGCACACUGUGGUGUUGAAACAGAACGUAUGUUAAUAACAAAUUGCUGCCCUUUAUUAAAAACUGUUGAAUGGGUUUCUACUGGUGGCAUUAAGUCCUUUCAUUUUUUACUGUCACACUGUUAUAAGCCAUUGUAGAAAUGGUUGGGUCAUAACUGACUGUGAUUACCACCUCAGUUCCAUGAAGGAUCCAGCCUGGUGUCCUCUGGCAUUUUUGCAGAUAUACCCAUUGACAGACUAGUUAUGUGCAGAAGAAAGCACUGUUCAGAGACAAAGGGAGAAUACCAAGGAACGUUAUCAACCCUUCUCCAUUUUACAAGUCCUUGUUGGUCGCUACAGUCAGAUUUUUGCCUUGGACGUAUUCUUACUUUUCACCCCAUAUCAGGUUCACUUGCUCCACAAGGCAAAAUCUCUCAAGGAGGUUUUGAAGUUAUUUGGAAAGACACGAUAAACCCUUUCAUCUUCCAAAUUUUCGUGGUGAGCUAAAGUGUUAGGCCUGUAUGUCCAAAGCAUGCUGCACUUGUACUGGCAGUAGACUAAAGUUAUUUUCUGAAAUCAUUUUUAUAACUUGAUGUUUGGAAGUUUUUAUCAUUUUGUUAUUGAAGUAUUCUAAAAUAAACUUAAUUUGUGAAUGAAAUUUUUUUAAAUGUCAUUUUAAUAUUUACUGCAGUGUGUGUACUUACCAUUGUCAGAGUGUUUAUAGCAUGGGCGUCCAACCUUUUGAUUUGCCUGGGCAGCAUCUGCAGCAGUUGCUCCAAAAGUAAUGCUGCAGGACGGGCUGGGCCAGGCUGCAUACAGCCUGUGGGCUGCGGGUUGGACAUGCCUGGUUUAUAGUAUGGAGGAGGGAGCAUGCUAAAAGCAAGUACAGUGAUUUAUAAGUCACUGCAAGCUGACACCACUGAAAGCUGAAGCCCUUCAUCUCUAGAGGAGCUGCAGCUUUGGCAGUAGCUGCCAGACUGUCCCAAGACUGGGCCUCAGCAUGACCCAUCUCAGAAGUGUUGCCUUGAAGGAGAGGCAAUGAUUGCCAAAUCUCCUUCAGCAUUCUAUUCUGCGCUUUGGAGAUUGCGUGGGAAGGUAACAGAUGCAUGUUAAACUAAGUUUAUUCAUAGGCACUGGGCUGAUGACACUCAUUUCAUAUGGGACAAUCGUGUGAUGUUAAUGACUUUAAACUGCAGCAGCCCUCCUGGUUGCCUGCUGAGCUAGAGAUCUCUCUGCUUCUGCCGUCUCAGCCAUCCCGUCCCUGAUGCUGACUUGUCUGAGCUUUACCCACAGAUCCAAAUUUUUACCCCAUAGUCUUUAUCUUUUGCUUAGAUAUCAAAGCAGCUGUUUCCUUCAAGAAGCAAUUAAUCACAGCAAUGUUUGUGUUUGGAAUUCAGCUAGUACAAGUAGAAGGACAGUUCUCUUCUGCUGCGGCUGUCUGGGGGGCAGCCAGCUGUGCAGUGUGCCCUGAAGUUCUGCAGUAUGGGAUUAUUUCAGACAGGAGAGGGAUCAUCUUAGCUGAUGCCACUUAGCAGCUCACUGCCUAAACUCUACCCAUCUUGAUCUCUGUGUGUUAGUGCAGGAGAAAUUUAUGGAGUGCAGGGCAUUUUAUGCAUGAAGAGACCAAAUGGCUUUUAUGUUGAAAGAAAGUGUUUUGGAACAAGAAAAUGCACAGCCUCACCAGAGGAACAAGAAUAGCAAGUUCAAGGAUUUAGAAGAUGUGUUAAUGAGUGUGUAGAUAAUGAGUGAAGUUCUAACUCUGAAGCCAAUAGAAAACAUUCAUUGACCUAACUGAAGCCAGGAUGUUGCCCAAGGUCUUUGUUUAGCAUUGAGGAUAACUUGUGUUAUCAGGAAAAAAAAAAAAAGC
Non-coding RNA from Meleagris gallopavo (turkey), 15787 nucleotides. Lineage: Eukaryota; Metazoa; Chordata; Aves; Galliformes; Phasianidae. The record is from RefSeq and is a predicted model, not a curated record.